Molecule: microRNA, 23 nt
Filed under: Ananas comosus (pineapple)
Lineage: Eukaryota; Viridiplantae; Streptophyta; Magnoliopsida; Poales; Bromeliaceae
Description: microRNA s1481_c082b
Source: RNAcentral
GUGGUCUCUGGGAGUGGGAGAUG